Non-coding RNA from Capsicum annuum, 106 nucleotides. The record is from Rfam. NCBI's taxonomy places the organism in Eukaryota, Viridiplantae, Streptophyta, Magnoliopsida, Solanales, Solanaceae.
UGAUGAUGGUGAGGGAAAUUUCUAAGCAUACCCUGAAAUUUUCUAAAGCUUGGCAAAGAUUUUCCCUUUCUUUCUGCCUGAAACUCAAAAUCUCACUUCUCAAAUA